Molecule: ribosomal RNA, 464 nt
Filed under: uncultured Mycobacterium sp.
Lineage: Bacteria; Bacillati; Actinomycetota; Actinomycetes; Mycobacteriales; Mycobacteriaceae
Description: bacterial SSU rRNA
Rfam family: Bacterial small subunit ribosomal RNA
Source: RNAcentral
UGAGUAACACGUGGGUAAUCUGCCCUGCACUUUGGGAUAAGCCUGGGAAACUGGGUCUAAUACCGAAUAGGACCGCGCUCUUCAUGGGGUGUGGUGGAAAGCUUUUGCGGUGUGGGAUGGGCCCGCGGCCUAUCAGCUUGUUGGUGGGGUAAUGGCCUACCAAGGCGACGACGGGUAGCCGGCCUGAGAGGGUGACCGGCCACACUGGGACUGAGAUACGGCCCAGACUCCUACGGGAGGCAGCAGUGGGGAAUAUUGCACAAUGGGCGCAAGCCUGAUGCAGCGACGCCGCGUGAGGGAUGACGGCCUUCGGGUUGUAAACCUCUUUCAGUACCGACGAAGCGCAAGUGACGGUAGGUACAGAAGAAGGACCGGCCAACUACGUGCCAGCAGCCGCGGUAAUACGUAGGGUCCGAGCGUUGUCCGGAAUUACUGGGCGUAAAGAGCUCGUAGGUGGUUUGUCG